CAGCCGUUGAACCAACCGUCCAGCAGAAGUUACCCAACAUGUGGGAUUGCAAAGCUUGCCGCUGGCUCAUGAAGGUGGGAUGCUAAGCAUGCUGAAGAAGCACGGGAAAGAAAGCAUGGGAAGCAGGGAAUGGAAACAGCAAGAGAAGAUGGAGAUGGGAGAAAGUGGAGACGGGAGUGAUGAUGAAUGGCAGCGUAGAUGAGAAAUGACUUGUGUAGAGGGGGCCGAAGAGGAGUAGAUGCAUUCAUACCGCCGUUUGAGAAUGGUAAUGGUAUCGGCGUUAGGCACCUCGGCGUGUGCAGCUUGCCGGGUGCUCCGCCGGAAAUGCACUGCUCAGUGUUUAUUUGCACCUUUCUUCCCCCCCGACCAGCCACAGAAGUUUGCUCAUGUUCACAAGACUCUGAAGUAGUACCUAACAGAGUACCUCGACCUCGGGAAAUGAACAAUUUGUAUUCACGUUGUUCAGGAUGGUAGAUUGGGAAUCACUCGAUUGGGUUUGCUGCUCAUAUCUCAACACAACCCUAGAAUCAUUCCAACAAGACAUGAUGCAAACUCUUAGUCAACCACGCGGUUUGUUCUGUGAGACUAAGUUUGAAAUUCUUACGAGAGCAAUGUGGCAUUGGUGGUUUCGUCAUCACCAGAUAAAAAUAAGUAAUAAAGAUAUUGAAUGCGCCAGAAACUCAAUAGCAAUGACUUCAUGGUUUCUCUUGCUUUGAGUCUGCUGUUAUGUGGUUUCAAUGUGGACAGGUCUUUGGUUCCAUCAGCAAGAGCUAGAAUUUCCAUAAUUAUACAGCCCUUGCAUCAAUUCGGGACAUCAGACUCGAAAAAACGUGGUGGGACUCUACAGGCUGGUAGGUGUUUGGCGUCGCAAAUGUCACAAAGAUGCUGCAUGAGUUGCCACCUCCCCACCGUGAAGAUUGUGUGAAUUCCCUUGCGUACGAGGCAGAUGCAGGGGUUCAAGACCCUGUUUAUGGCUGUGUAGGAGCCAUAUCUGUCCUUCAGCAGCAGGUGGCGCACUUGCAGACACAACUGGCGAUAGCAACCUCCGCGAUCAAGACUUCGUUAGACCUUCGCCAUCACCACCAGCGCCUCCAACGCUUACUCCAGUCCUCCUUUUUGCAAACCUGCUCCUGCAAUCGACGAGCCAACUCUCUUACUUGGGCCUUCUCAAGCUUUUAAGAACGAUCAAUCUGCCGACCUUGAUCGCCCCACUCUUGCAGUUGAUCCACCAAAUGAAGAAUCAUCCCCCCAGCAACAACCACAGCCAGCCGUUACUUCUUGGGACACCUCAAGGCCUGCUUCUUCAGAACUCCUCCGGCUUCCUUGCAGUGCUCCUCGAACAUCUCAGCCUGAGCUAAUUGUUCGCCAGCAAAUCUGAAUCUUUGUGAGGAAUUACAACAUUUUUCUAUGGUAUAGCUUGCACUCUAGCAAGUGAUCGAAGAUGAAAUUGAUGAAUCGCAUGAGUCUGGGUGAUGCUCUCUCAUUACAUCGACCGUUUUAUAAUUGACACAAGUUCUUUCAUGACAUAUUAGCUGCCCAGCUUGAAGAAGAGUGGAACAGAAAUUACAAAAGAUUGUCUUGAAGCCUACUAGCUAUCACAUUAACUUGAGAUUUAAUCUACCUCAACUUGAACACCAUACCCCUGAAUCUGCUGUAUUUUUCUCCGAGGCCGGCACGACUGAGGCCAGCAGCUCCAUGGACAUGCAAACACAGGCUCCACAAUGCAUCUCAAAACCAACAAAACAGUUUGUGCAACGAAAACACGAGUGAUCCCAGAACUGAACGUAUUGCAUAUCUUCAUGAUCUGUUCGAGGAAUCGUGAACUUGUUUGAGCAAAUGCAGCAUCAAACUUCGAAAACCUCUCAAGACUUGACCAGAUGGCAUGAGUAACUGCUCUAGCUGAAAUGAAAUGAUUUUGGUAACAGCUUGAGUUUAAAUAAUAGUUUUUUGAAACUUGUGUACAAAAUUUUUGGAGACUCUUGCAUUAAAGAUUUUGAUACAAUAUUUUU
Physcomitrium patens is the source of this 2009-nucleotide non-coding RNA. NCBI's taxonomy places the organism in Eukaryota, Viridiplantae, Streptophyta, Bryopsida, Funariales, Funariaceae. The record is from RefSeq and is a predicted model, not a curated record.